Molecule: long non-coding RNA, 3022 nt
Organism: Diospyros lotus (date-plum)
Lineage: Eukaryota; Viridiplantae; Streptophyta; Magnoliopsida; Ericales; Ebenaceae
Exons: 2
Source: RefSeq, a predicted model, not a curated record
AUAUGUUGGUUGCUUUGAAUGUGACCAUACUGCAGAAAGCACUCAAUUAGAUGUUUUACUCUCUGGAUACUGAAAAACGUGAUCACUUGCUAGAAAUUUUACUGUGUUCCUGCCUUGGGCAAGUGACAAACUUUAUGACUAUCAUGUUUUAUCUUCCAUAUGCCACAAAGAACUCUUCCCUGAUACUAUCAUAAAUCAGUGGCUUAUCAAAGACAAGGGGGAAAAAAUCUUGAUAAUCAUGUGACUUGUCCUGUAUACCUCAUUAGAGAUGUGAUGAUGUGAUUUCUUGGAGUUACCAGUUAAUCUCUGGUUUUCUUGGCUUUAGCUUGGAUAUGGCCUAGGAUAUAUAGGAUGACUUCUGCAGAAUGUCACGAGACAUUGGGCUUCUUGUGGUUUACUCACCAAAGUACCUGGUGCUUAAUCCCUUUCAGAUUUGGUUAUCUUAGACCGGUAGAUAAAUUUUCUUCAUAAAUAGUAUCUCCUAAAAUUGUAUGGAUACCUGGUUCCUUAAUGUUAGAAAUAGAAUUUUGUAUGAUGAAAGCACAUGAAAGUUCUAUGAAUUUCACAAAUUAGACAAGUAGUUAUGACAUGUCCAACUACUUGUAAUAAAAGCUACAUUAUUCUUCAUCAAUUUUUUAUUCUUGUUCGCUAGGGUAUAAAACUUUAACAUACUUUCCUAAAUCCUUCUUCCCCUAUUGUAAUCCUCUCCAAACCUUUCAUGCAUCUAUAAUUUGUUUGUCACCUUACUGCAUAACCACUUCAACUGUCCCUGAAUUUCCCUGUAGAUUCUUUGUUCAAGGUUAACUGAACUUCUUUGUCUAUCAAAGUGCACAUGGAGUUGGCAGAUUUAUGUAUUAACCAACUAUUACAAAAUGCAAUUGUUUUUUAUGUAAAACAUUCUUAAGACUCUAUUAGGACUUUUCAUUAACUUGGUUGUCACUUUUUCAGUUGUAUCAAUAUUAUCGGAAAAUCCGAUAGCAACCCAUUUUUCCAUUCAGUGUUUUCUGAUAAUAUAUUCAAUAAUUUUGGCACACAUAUUGAUAAUAUUUUCAUCGACUCAAUUGUCACUUUAUAGUUUUGGAACACAGUUUUUUUCCAUUCUAAGGGAUGAAUUGCUUCUAGAAUUGGGGUUCUUCUUUAUUACUUCGUGUAUGCUAUAUUUAUUGUCAAAGUACUGAAUGGAAAUUACUAUCACGUGUACAUGAGCCUUCAACCCUUAUCACGUGUACUAUAGAACCCAUUAUUUUCAUACCAUGUUCCACAUCUUAGAUGACGUAGGAUUGGAAUGCUCACUCUAGUAUUAUAGUAUUGAUAUCACCGGGAGCAAAGCCCAGGAAUUUAUAGUUAUGCUUUUGAUGGUAUCAUUUCCUCCUAUUAUUUAAAGUUUAUGUAUGUUGUUGGCAAUCCACUUUACUGAAAAAAUAAAAAAGAAUUGACAUACUAUCAUCUUCCUUAUCAUGGGUAUGGCCUCCACCUCUGUGAAGAUUUAAAGCUUUGAUAACUUACUAUUUUUCCUUACCAAAGAUCUGUUGGUAUUUGUUUUAUAAUAUGUUCUUCCAUUUUAGAUUAGCUGCUUCUGUGUAGCAGAUUGAAGAUUUCAGUGAGUAAAGCAUUUUUGGUUCAAGGAGAAUGAGUUGUUUCUUUCUUUCUGUUUUUAACAACGUAUCAAGCCUGUAUCCCACCAUGUGAAUUGCCUUAAAGGACUUGUGGAGCGAAUGUGGAAGGCAAAUGAAGAAUGCAGCUCAAACUGCAGAAACCAUAGUUAUUAGAACCGAAUUAGAUACUAAACCGAUAAAUAAGUAAAUUUUAAAAAUUUUCAUCAUAUGAAAACACACAGAAAUCAACACAAACCAUAUAAUAACUUGGAUGUUUAAGCAACGCAACAUUACAUCAUAUGUAAUAAACUGAAUGCGUACUUGGAUGGAAGAAACUGAGUGGGUGUAGAAACUGUUUCUACACAAAAACCACUUCCUCCUCGAGUCGUGGAGGUCCAUUCAUACCAAGCUAGCAACUCUAGAACCCUUCGUUGAUUUCCUGUCCUAGACAAAGUCAUAGCGAAGUUGAGUGACAGCUGGUACUGUUCUUCCUAGCCCGUUCAUCUCAUGAACAUCAAUUGGCAGGACUAAACGAAAGGGACAACAGGCUGAAAACUCGCUGACAACUCUUGCCAAAGUCCACUGGCAGAAACUGGCUGGAGACAACUGCCGGCAACUCUUGCCGACCCCAAAGCAGCCACCGGAGAAACAAAAAAUUGGUCCUGUUGGCAACACUUACUGGAUACUGCAACAAACUAUUUCACCGAACUACUUACUGCUGCAAUAGCUUGCUGAACUGCUUGCCACUGCAACUCCAGCCGCCUGCAACUCUGGUCGCCUGCUUGCUAUUCACUGCUGCAACUCUCGCACUCGCCAGUGACCUUGCUACAAUAUGAAGAUCACCGGAAAUUGUAAGUGCAACACCGCCAGCAACCUUUGCCAUCGGUUGCCUGCAACUCUUGCCGGAGCCGGGAUACUUCUAUCACUGCUGCGUUACCGGAAGCCGCACCGGAAAAACCAUGAGGAAAGCCAUCAGAUUUGGCAACAACUCCUUGCCGGCACCAAAGCAAAAACAGCUACUGGUUGCGGCUGAUGCUGCUCGCUGGCCACCACCUGCGUACACGCUGUCACACGCCUGCUACAUGCAUGCUGCGCUCACUGCACGUUGGCCGCACACUAGCCGCGCGCUGCUUGUGUGCAUUGCUGCACGCUGUGCCACACGUUGGCCAUGUGCUGGCUGCACGCUGCUCAGGUGCUUUGCUGAUUAGGGCAUUAAUUAAAUCUUGAGGCUUGGGUCUAAUUAAUGCUCAAGUCCAUGAUCAUCCCAAUUUUAUUUAUUUAUUCAUUCGUUUUAUCUUGCAUGUGAUGUUUGAUGGAAUGAAUGGAUGCAAAUGAUGAGACCUGUAAAUAGAAGUCUGAAAAUCUUCCCAUAUGCAAACUAAUAUUAGAUUUAAGCGGUGAAUCAAAGUCAUUGUAGCCUUCCACUA